RNAcentral lists this long non-coding RNA (2103 nucleotides) under Gallus gallus (chicken). RNAcentral describes it as "lncRNA (ENSGALG00010002564.1)". Lineage: Eukaryota; Metazoa; Chordata; Aves; Galliformes; Phasianidae. The record is from RNAcentral.
GGUUGGUCAUGGAGCUGAGGGUAUCUUGCUGGUGAUUCCUACCUACCUGAGGACUUCUAAGGACUUCUACUCCCGGACCUGUUCCUGUGACCCCCACCUCAUGCCCCAGAUGGGUGAUGUCUGAAGGGCUUUGACCAUACAGCUUCUGGAAAUGGCUCUUGAAUCUCCUGCAGUAGGUCCUUGAUUGGGCCCAGCUGAUUGGGAAGAGUCUUUAAAGCAAAACACAGCCGUGAUCUGGAGGAAGAACUGUGUAAUAAACCUGUGUCCUUGCACCCAGCCUGGCAGGACCUUCCCCGGAGGACACAGUCCCAGUAAUUCCCCAGCAGCGCUGCCUCCAGGAGUGAUUGCUAUUUACACCACAAUUUGUUAGAUCUUCUAGAGGAAUACCAGAUAGAUCCAGGGAUGAAUUUGGUUUGGGAAUUUAAGAUGCGUUGGAUCUAGUUUGCUGAAGUAGUUUUUGUGAGUAAUCUAUUUUAAUUAAAGAAAGCAAACAAAAAUGUGGAAAACAAAUGUUAACGGGAGUUGUUUCCUUUCCAGUGGAGCCUGAAUUCCAAAGCUUCAGCAAAGUCUGCUUCCAUAUGGUGCCUCAGGGCAUACAAACACAUCAAUAUGGGAAGAUAAAACCUCCUGACAUUACAAAGCUGGUUGGUCAGAAGGCAUGCUGACUGAUUGCUGAUGCUGGGCCCUGAUGCUCUGUGGGGCACAAAUGCUUGGACUGUAGAGGCACCUGUGUACACUGAUGCCCUGUCUGUGUCAGAAUUGCACCCCAGCAUGGUCAUUCAGGAAGAUGGGCUGACAGAGCCCGAUGGCAGACAUAGUAAGCCUUUGUCUAGUGAGGAUCUCAGGGCUGGUGAAAGCACAUGAGAGAAAAGCAAAUCACAUCAACCAUGAUUUAUCUUCUCUGGGUUUGCAGCACUGAAAGGAGAUGUGGGGUGUAGGUAGGUUUCUCCAGCUUGUCUCCACAAAUGCUAUUGUACUCCUCAAGUAAUGGCCUGGUUUCCUGUGCAAACUGAUGUGCCUGCUAUUUGGUGACUUGUGUUGUGCCUUUCUGCCAAUACCAUGUUUAUUUUGUGUCAGCAGAAUAAACUUCUUGGACUGCUUUCUUAGGGACAUGGGGAACUGUUAGCCUGAAAACCAAGGAAGAAAUAACACGGAGUGCUCAGCUGCCAUAACAGCGAGACACCAAGGAAGACCUGGAUCCCUGGCCUGUCUUCAAAGCCCACCAGCACUGCCUUGCCUUCAAUCUUGUACAGCAGAGCAUGCAAUUGCCAAGGGCCCCAGUUGCUUCUAGAAGCAUACUUGAUUUUUAUAGAGGUGCAUGUAUCCUUGACCUCCAGCUAGCAUUUCCUGCUGCCCUGUGUGAUGUUGACUUACGCUGAUUGCAACAAUGCCCUCAUACUGAGUCUCUGUUUCCAACAGCCGAGCCAUCAGGAUACGUAUGAUCGUAGAUGACACCGACCAAGGCUCUGAUGGCUUUUGGAUCCCAGAUCACACUGCGAAACAUCCAGCUGCUGAGAAACAUUCCCUAGAGAAGACUAUUUCUCUGCAUUAACGAGAGAGGAAAGACUUAUCGGACAGACACCUUGAAUGCCCUUCGUACUGCCUCUUACUCCUAAGAAUCAGCUCCUUCCUGCAGACCUCUGGAAUUACACUUUUCUCCUUCACUUGCUGACUUUAUAAAGACCAAGCCAAAUUGUGAGCAUUUGUGACACUUUUUCCUCCAAUUUCUCUUUCCUAAAUAAAGCAAAUAUCCAAACUGCAUUUUGUUCUAUUUUAUUCAUAAGAUGCCUGAGGCAUGCAUUCAAGAGAGAGAAAUCCCAGAUGCACCAACUUGUUUUUCCAUGUGUUGAGUGUACACCUACAGCCUACCUUUAGCAAAAUUUCAUAAUGUCAUUUGAUAAAUGCAUGUAUAUGUGAGAAAUUGCAACAGUGUUAAAAAGAACUGAAAUAUUUUUUCAUUUACCUGACGCAAAGCAUGCCUUUUUAUCAAAGCAACUCUCUCAAGCAUCAUCAACACUUAGUUUAGAAUAUAUUUAGCCACAUACAGUAAAAGAAACAGCUGAGAGAUACUAGGGAAGCCUAUGGUAGAAAAACAAGUGGAUG